CCUACGGGAGGCUGCAGUGGGGAAUAUUGGACAAUGGGCGAAAGCCUGAUCCAGCCAUGCCGCGUGUGUGAAGAAGGCCUUCGGGUUGUAAAGCACUUUCAGUGGGGAAGAAAGCCUUGGGGCUAAUACCCUCGAGGAAGGACAUCACCCACAGAAGAAGCACCGGCUAACUCCGUGCCAGCAGCCGCGGUAAUACGGAGGGUGCGAGCGUUAAUCGGAAUUACUGGGCGUAAAGCGCGCGUAGGCGGUCUGAUAAGCCGGUUGUGAAAGCCCCGGGCUCAACCUGGGAACGGCAUCCGGAACCGUCAGGCUAGAGUGCAGGAGAGGAAGGUAGAAUUCCCGGUGUAGCGGUGAAAUGCGUAGAUAUCGGGAGGAAUACCAGUGGCGAAGGCGGCCUUCUGGACUGACACUGACGCUGAGGUGCGAAAGCGUGGGUAGCAAACAGGAUUAGAUACCCUGGUAGUC
This 465-nucleotide ribosomal RNA is filed under the name Vreelandella stevensii. RNAcentral's name for it is "partial 16S ribosomal RNA". It matches the Rfam family "Bacterial small subunit ribosomal RNA", at positions 338 to 795 of the family's 1533-position model. Lineage: Bacteria; Pseudomonadati; Pseudomonadota; Gammaproteobacteria; Oceanospirillales; Halomonadaceae. The record is from RNAcentral.